This 253-nucleotide ribosomal RNA is filed under the name uncultured bacterium. Its description in RNAcentral is "partial 16S ribosomal RNA". It matches the Rfam family "Bacterial small subunit ribosomal RNA", at positions 524 to 776 of the family's 1533-position model. The record is from RNAcentral.
UACGUAGGCAGCAAGCGUUGUUCGGAGUUACUGGGCGUAAAGAGUGCGUAGGCGGUGCCCUAAGUCUGUUGUGAAAUCUCGCGGCUUAACUGGGAGGGUGCGGUGGAAACUGGGGUGCUUGAGUGUGGGAGAGGUAAGCGGAAUUCCUGGUGUAGCGGUGAAAUGCGUAGAUAUCAGGAGGAACACCGGUGGUGUAGACGGCUUACUGGACCACGACUGACACUGAGGCACGAAAGCGUGGGUAGCAAACAGG